AUUGAACGCUGGCGGAAUGCUUUACACAUGCAAGUCGAACGGCAGCACGGGGGCAGCCCUGGUGGCGAGUGGCGAACGGGUGAGUAAUACAUCGGAACGUGCCCGGUCGUGGGGGAUAACGUAUCGAAAGUUACGCUAAUACCGCAUACGAUCUGAGGAUGAAAGCGGGGGACCUUCGGGCCUCGCGCGAUCGGAGCGGCCGAUGUCCGAUUAGGUAGUUGGUGGGGUAAAGGCCUACCAAGCCGACGAUCUGUAGCUGGUCUGAGAGGACGACCAGCCACACUGGAACUGAGACACGGGCCAGACUCCUACGGGAGGCAGCAGUGGGGAAUUUUGGACAAUGGGCGCAAGCCUGAUCCAGCCAUUCCGCGUGCAGGACGAAGGCCUUCGGGUUGUAAACUGCUUUUGUACGGAACGAAAAGGCUCUGGCUAAUACCUGGGGCUCAUGACGGUACCGUAAGAAUAAGCACCGGCUAACUACGUG
Molecule: ribosomal RNA, 484 nt
Filed under: uncultured bacterium
Lineage: Bacteria
Description: partial 16S ribosomal RNA
Rfam family: Bacterial small subunit ribosomal RNA
Source: RNAcentral